Phasianus colchicus (ring-necked pheasant) is the source of this 2282-nucleotide non-coding RNA. NCBI's taxonomy places the organism in Eukaryota, Metazoa, Chordata, Aves, Galliformes, Phasianidae. The record is from RefSeq and is a predicted model, not a curated record.
UUGGGUUUAUGCUAAUUGUGGGUGAUUAACUGACUGUGGGCUGGAAACUCUUCUUACAGCUCCCUGCAAGCAGGCUGGGAGGAAGGAGCUAGGGAGCAGUGGUGGUGAACAACACACAUAAAUCUGUAGGUUCUGCCUUGCAGCCAGGCCUGCUGCAGGCAGAAGGCAGCUGGAUGGGACAGCAUGGGGUAAGGGCUCAAGCAGGGUCUGUAUUUAGGGCAAAAGGAGCUGCCUAUCUUGCACAGCUGACUUGAGUUGUCGGGAUGAGGACUGCCCAGCUGGGUGUACCUUCAGACCUUGACUCAGGAGCAGUAACUGGGAAAAGAGGACAGUGGGGAGUACAGGAUGCUUGUCCUUCCCUGGAGCAACCAGAUGUACCUGUAGGUCAGAAAUGACUGAACUGUCUUCUGUCACCAUCCCACAGCCAGCUUCCUAAGCCUGGAUGUCUGGAGCCAUGUGGUACGACCCAAAUAUAACAGCACGAGGCAGCCAGAGAGCAUCGUUCUCGGGUCACACAGGAAGUGUAUCUCUUUGAACGUCCCCCAGACCCUUUCUGCACAGGGCAUUAUGAUGCCAGGGAAGGAAGAGGUAACCACUGAGGAGAUUUUGAACCACUUUUGAACCAUUGAGGAGAUUUUGGCAAUGCCCAGUGUGGGACACUUCUGCCUUACAGAAAGCAUAAUGGGAGCCCUCAUAAAUGAAGAUAUGCCUUUGCUGUGAAAACAAUGGUGCCUCUAAUUACAAGAGAAGAAUCUUCAGUCUUAGAACCAAAUUAUUGAUAAGGAAAUAUCCUUAUUUAAGUGUAUCUAAUUGAGAACUGCACUCCAGCUCCUAUACAUGGGUGAUGCUCAGCAGCUGUGGAAGUAGAAGUAAUCCAGCUGACUUCUCACCCAGCUCUACGGUGCUUUACAGCAAAGCUGAUGAAGCCUAAAGGUGUCUCUCCUCACAAAACCUCACUGCAUCCCUCCAUGUGUUAUUGCUGCUCUGAGGCAGGGAUGGCAGAAAGCCCCAAUGGGGAUUUCUGCUCGAUUUUGGUGAAAUUUGAUGUUAAUUUGGGAUUAUGUCUGAGCCUGAAUGUGGGAAAGAAAGAAGGCACCUGUAGGUGCCUGCUGAGCCAUGAUGUGGCUCUUAUUCUCUGCCUGCUGUCGCAGGUUGCCCUGCCCUGCAGCUGCUCAGACCCACAUGUAAACACCAAGCCACCAAAUUGCUCUCCAAGUUACCUUUCAUCUCCUGGAAACAGAGAGUGAAACCAAAAUCUGCUUUGCUGUGUUUAGAGCUCAGCUGGCCACCUCUCUGUGAUGAAAAAUCCUGCUGCCUUCAUGUCAUGGCUUUGGGGCUGUCUGCUGGGGUGCUGUGCUCCCAUCCCAGUGUCUAGGGCCAAUUUUCGUGUUCUCCGGUCCUAAUGGGGACAGAGUCCUCAUCCCAAACCUAGCAGUAAGGAAACUAGCUGUCUACUCAGCUUUUCCAGAAAAAAAGUGAAGUGAUGGCUGGGAGGCCCAGUCCCUACUUAAUGCUGUGAUGUUGCUAUGAUGCUUCUUAAAACUGACUACUGGGAGUUAGCAAUGAGACAAACUGUGUUUGGUUCCUGACCAAGUCUAUGCUUGUUUGUGAUGCAAUUAGAGUGAAGUAAUACACAUUGCAUGUAGAAUGGUCCAAAUUUCUCAUAGAGAUGAGUGUUAUUGCUGGGCAAAGCUCAGGAACUGUCCCCAGCCCGGUGGUAAUUGUAAGGUAUGGCAGUCCUUUGAAACUGUUUUUGUAUGCAGGGCUGGAAGGGACCUCCUAACUCAUGUCCAAUUGCCUUCUAUUUUCUUCAACUUUGUAGACUAUUGGUUUUCAUAAACAUGACAUGUUCUGUCUUCAAGGGGAGGGGCUUGUCCUCAUAGUAUUCCAGCUGAAAACCUCUCCAAAACCUCCAGGCUCUGUGACCAAGAAAUCAUCUUCUCCUUUCCAACCUGCCUUCCAUUUUGUCUGGUCCAUACCCAUUUAAUUUGCAUCAAAAAAUGUUCCUUUGCUUAAAAACAUUCCUUUUCUCCUUCAGCAAGAGAAAACACAGAACCCAGUGUAGAGGCUAACCAGUGGCUACCUCUUGAGAUCCUCAUGCAGUUUGCCCCAAACUGUAGCAACUCACACAUCUGAUGGUUAGAGCACUGGAUCUUAUAGCCCCAUAGGAUUAGCAAUAAGACAUAAAAAGAGAGAUUUCAGAAAUUGCUAGGAUGUCCAGGGAGACUGAGACUUACUGGUUCACCACAUCAAAAAGACUGCCCUACUGCCUGAGCAUCCCU